GACAGUGGUAUCGCGCGAAACCUUUGAUUUUAAAGUAAUGGCGGAAGAAGCGCUCAUAAUUCGUAUUGAAAGGGAGAUAAAUGAUAUCUCCCGUCGUUACCAAGAGAAUGGUAGCUAUAGAGGUUGCGAAACCCAGCCUUUACGAGAUGCUCUAGUACAUAUGCGUGUCUUGAAUCACACACCGCAAAUUACUAUGCUGGAAGACGCAGUGAGAAAUCUACUGGAGGAUAUAACAAACCAAGGCCCAGUAGCUGUAGGCCUAGGAGGAGGCCAAGAUGCGGUUGGUGGCCCUGAGCCUAGGAGGCCUAGGCUUAAUCAAGAUGUUGACACAGGAACUUCUGCCAAUAUCUUUCACUCUGGAACCAAAGGUCGACCAAAAAUAGAUAUUACAAGAGAGCAGUUAGAAUUCCUGUACACCAAAGGUUAUUCUGGCGUGCAAAUAGCUAAACAUUUCAAGGUUUCAGUGUCUUACAUAUAUAAACGAUUAAGACUAGAGGGACUUCAACCAUCAAAGAGAUUUACAGCAAUAUCUUCAGAAGGGCUUAAGGAAAAAGUGAACGAUAUGCACAUUUCCUAUCCGAAUGCCGGUUCUCGAAUGAUGCUAGGAUUUCUACGUAGCCAAAAUAUCACCGCAUAAAGAAAGCGGGUAAGGGAGGCACUCAAAGAAGUUGAUCCAGAAGGGACAGCUAAGAGGUGGGCUCAAACAAUUACUCGCAGAGUCUAUGCAGUUCAAGCUCCAAAUUCGCUGUGGCAUAUUGAUGCCAAUCUUAAACUAAUAAGCUUUGGCAUGGUAGUCCAUGGUUGUAUAGAUGGAUCAUCACAUCUUGUUCCAUACCUUCGAUGUGAAAACAACAACAGAGCCUCAACUGUGUUUGAAAUGUUUGUCAGAGCGACGUCUGUGUAUGGUAUUCCAUCAAGAGUGAGAUCUGACCAUGGCCUCGAAAACCUACAUGUGGCACUUUUUAUGAAUAUGGUGAGGGGAAAUCAAAGAGGCAGCCAUAUAACAGGACGGUCAGUUCACAAUCAGCGUAUUGAACGUUUUUGGAGGGAUGUACAUACACAGGUACUUAUUACUUUCAAGGAUGUUUUCUACGGGCUAGUUGACAGUGAUCAACUAGAUGUAGAGAACCACUCUCAUCUGCAAGCACUACAUGCUGUGUAUGUGCCAGUCAUUAACAACCGACUUGAAUUGUUCAGACAAGCCUGGAACAUGCACAAAAUGACAUCUGAUGCGGCUCAGCGUACACCUGAACAACAGUGGAUAGACGGAAUGUUGUCAAAUGCUGGCUCAGACAAAAGGGCAGUUAAUUCGGUUUUUCAAGGCGAAACAGUUGAAAGGACAUUAUCAGAAAUUUUAACGCAGCAAGGAUUACACCCUGAACCGUUUGGUGACUUGGCAGAUGAGAAUAAUUUGGUAGGAAACUUAGAUGUUGUACCACAACUUCUUCCCGAGCAGUUGAAUGAGUUUCAUGUCGCUGUGGAGGGCAUAACUGACUUGCAGCAAAGAUAUAUUAUAGCUCUUAAUCUGUUUGGUACUCUUGAGUAGCAUUUGGUACCAUAUACAGUAGAACCCCGAUUUUACGAACCCCGAUUUUACGAAUUCCCGAUUUUACGAACGUAAUAUAAAGGUGGUGACGUCAUAAAAAUUGAAGCGAAAGAUUAAAAAAAAAA
RNAcentral lists this unclassified non-coding RNA (1671 nucleotides) under Anneissia japonica. Its description in RNAcentral is "uncharacterized LOC117099975, transcript variant X2". Lineage: Eukaryota; Metazoa; Echinodermata; Crinoidea; Comatulida; Comatulidae. The record is from RNAcentral.